GACGAACGCUGGCGGCGUGCUUAACACAUGCAAGUCGAACGGGAAGUCCCUGCUUUGUUGGGGUGCUCUAGUUGCGAACGGGUGAGUAACACUUGAGUAAGCUACCCUUGAGUUUGGGAUAACUUCAUGAAACUUGGGCUAAUACCGCAUAGGAGCUCCUGCUGCAUGGUGGGGGUGGGAUAGUUUCGGCGGUUGGGGAUGUACUCGCGGCUUAUCAGCUUGUUGGUGGGGUAGUGGCUUACCAAGGCUUUGACGGGUAGCCGUCCUGCGCGGGUGACCGGACACAUUGGGACUGAGAUACGGCACAGACUAGUCCGGGAGGCAGCAGUGGGGAAUAUUGCAUAAUGGGAGGAAGCCUGAUGCAGUCCAGCCGCGUGCGGGAUGACGGCCUUCGGGUUGUAAACCGAUUUCGCCUGUGACGAAGCGUGAGUGACGGUAAUGGGUAAAGAAGCACCGGCUAACUACGUG
Molecule: ribosomal RNA, 468 nt
Filed under: uncultured bacterium
Lineage: Bacteria
Description: partial 16S ribosomal RNA
Rfam family: Bacterial small subunit ribosomal RNA
Source: RNAcentral